UACGGGGGGGGCAAGCGUUGUUCGGAAUUACUGGGCGUAAAGGGCUCGUAGGCGGCCAACUAAGUCAGACGUGAAAUCCCUCAGCUUAACUGGGGAACUGCGUCUGAGACUGGUGGGCUUGAGUGCAGGAGAGGAACGCGGAAUUCCAGGUGUAGCGGUGAAAUGCGUAGAUAUCUGGAGGAACACCGGUGGCGAAGGCGGCGUUCUGGACUGCAACUGACACUGAGGAACGAAAGCCAGGGGAGCAAACGGG
RNAcentral lists this ribosomal RNA (253 nucleotides) under uncultured bacterium. RNAcentral describes it as "partial 16S ribosomal RNA". It matches the Rfam family "Bacterial small subunit ribosomal RNA", at positions 524 to 776 of the family's 1533-position model. The record is from RNAcentral.